AAUAUAGUGCCUGAUUUAAAAGGAUAGCUUUGAUAGAGCUAAUAAUGUAUUAUUUAUACCUAUAUUA
Molecule: transfer RNA, 67 nt
Filed under: Carpilius maculatus
Lineage: Eukaryota; Metazoa; Arthropoda; Malacostraca; Decapoda; Carpiliidae
Description: tRNA-Ile
Source: RNAcentral